This 23821-nucleotide long non-coding RNA is filed under the name Lactuca sativa (garden lettuce). Its description in RNAcentral is "long non-coding RNA (LSAT_LNC007899)". Lineage: Eukaryota; Viridiplantae; Streptophyta; Magnoliopsida; Asterales; Asteraceae. The record is from RNAcentral.
AGAGGGAGAAAAGGUAAGGAUAGAAGGAGUGAUGAUGAAGAUGAUCGUAAAGACAGAAGAAGGGAAAGAAAGAAUGACAGAAGUGACAAUGAUGAUGAUAAAUAUAAAAGGAGAAGGAAUAGGAACAAAGAUGAAAAGAAUGAUGAUGAAGAUGACAGGAGACAAGAUUAUAAAAGGGACAGAAAGAGGAAUGGUGAUCAUAAAGAGAGAAGAAGAACUGAUAAUGAUGUGUUAAAGCAUAAAGUUGAUCAAAAUGGGGAUAAAGAAAAACCUGAUGAAGGUGCAAGAUUCAAAAAGCUUGCUGAUUUGCAAGAAAGCAUGACUAAUUUAGGAAAGAGUGGAGGGGUGUAUAUUCCACCAUUCAAGUUGGCCCGUAUGAUGAGUGAAUUUCAAGAUAAAAGCAGUAUGGAAUAUCAAAGAAUGACAUGGGAUGCAUUAAGGAAGAGUAUAAAUGGUUUGGUCAACAAGGUCAACGACACAAACAUCAAAAACAUCAUCCCAGAGUUGUUUGCUGAAAAUCUGAUAAGAGGAAGAGGAUUGUUUUGUCGAUCAUGCAUGAAGUCUCAAAUGGCAUCUCCUCGUUUUACAGACGUUUUUUCAGCUCUGGUUGCUGUUGUAAACAGUGUAGAUGACAAGGGCAUAUAAGAGAAAUGACAAGGUGUGAAUUGUUUCAUCUAUCUGACAUCUUUUAUGAGAAUCAGUGUAUUUUAUAUUUAUACUGACACCAAGUGUUUUCACAGCCUCAAUUACUUGCUGUUGUUAAGUUUAUAGCUCAUUUGGUCAACCAACAUGUAGUUCAUGAGCUUAUUGCUCUUGAACUACUCACAACUCUACUGGAGAAUACCACUGAUGACAGUGUAGAUGUUGUUGUUGGUUUUGUUACAGAAUGUGGAUCAAUACUUCAGGAUCUAUCUCCCCGAGGCUUGCAUGGUGAGUAUUUUUUAAUCUUAUUUGUCUUCUAAAAGUACAAGCAUAUUGUUCUUUUCAUUUGUCAUUGUUGACAUUAUUGUAACACACACGUUUUGAAAUUGUGUUUUAUAAUGAAUAAUAUUGUGAAAUACUUUUUUAAGUUCUAACUGAUGGUUCUUACUAUAAAUGAAGUAAAACUAUGCUUAUAAUCAUUCAGAAAGUAUUGGAAGUCUUAUGAGAUUCCAAUCAAACGUCAAAUGGUAAAAUUUAACGAAAAUAUAAAUUUUGGAAUAAGUAAAAUUUUAUUAUUGAAAAUUUUAGAUAAUCUCGUUAGAAACUUGUAGGCGAAAACCUCGUCGAAAUCCGAGUUAUAACGAAGAAGUUAUGACCAAUCGAAGAUCCGCGACAAAACCGACACUGUGCGCCGAAUGACGUAAAAAGUGAGUUUUUGAUAAACUAUUUUUUAGCCUUAGUGAUCUAAAUUAAAGUCGUAGUAUUCAUUAAACUGAGAAGUUCGAUAAAAAUAACGUCAAAAUCUGACUUCGUAUGAGGAAGUUAUGAUUUUUCUAAGUUUCAGAAUAGCAGUAGACAACUAAAAACUCGAAUUUUAGAUCGAGUGAUAUUUAGCCAACAUAACCUAAACGAGAAUUGAAGGUCUCGUCAUUUGUAGUACAACGGUAAAAAGUCUAACGAAAACGGAUGUCGGAUGAAGAAGUUAUGAAUUUUUAACGGAUUUUCCAGUCCCGGUCUGUUAAAAAUAAUAAUAUUAAAAUAAAUUCAAAAUUAGCUGAUGAAGUCUAAAUGAAAGUUGUAGAGCAUAAUUUUACCUAUGCGUGCGUAUAAAGAACAUCAAAAAUGGAGCCUGUAUGCGAAAGUUAUAGAUUUUAGAAGUUCGGAGCACAAAAAUCGAAAUAAAUGCAAAAUCCGAAAAAAAUUCGCAAGGCUCAGGUUCGGCCACGUCAUUGGAUCCUCCCUGCUCGCCCCGUGUCACCGGUUCCUCGCAUCCGACGCGUGUCGCGAUGACUCCUCGCAUCCGAGGCGCUGGACUAAUCCGAAGCCGACGCGUGUUGCGCCAGUGUCCGAGCUUCGCUUGAGCCGCGUGUCUUUCUCCCUCGCUGCCACCUAGUUGCUGCUGACGCGCCCUUAUGAUCCGGCCUCGCAUCCUCGCCCUAUAAAUACAAGGCAUGCGAGCCUUGCCGAGUAAAAUGGAUAAAUUGCCAAUUUUUCACCCUUUCUCAAUAUUUUUAGUAUUUUGACUUCCCCCGAAGCCCCGAUAACAUUUCUAACACCCGAAACACGCCCCGAAGUGCCCGUGAAGCCCGGAAAAUUUAUCUUUUUGGUUUUGAAGCUCUACCUUCGCAGAGCCUGGUUUUCAAUAAAGCUCCCGGUUUUCAACAUAGAAAGUCAUAUUUAAAGCCGAAGUGCUGUCCAAAUUACUAUUUUGACCCCCGUUUAAUUCAAGGUGAGUUCAAUAUAUAGGAACAAUUGGAUGUUAUGUGUUAUAUUUGUUAUGUGCUUUUCAGUAUUAUUAUUCUAGGUUAUUUUCCCGUAUUAUUUUAUUCGCUAUUUUUAUAGAAAAAGUAAUACCUUUGACCAUGUGAUCAGUGAAAGGACUUAGAUUCACAUUGGUACUGGUACGUAGCCUCUGACCAUGUAGAGCAUGUCUCCGUAAGAGAAUGACUUCUAUUCUAUGGCAUUGGCAAAUGGUUAGACAGGGCUAUAAGCCUGAAAUCUACCAAAAUGUUAAUCCGAAGUUGUAUGUCUUCUAUGCCAUUUGGGUCGAAGCUUUAUUGAUGUAUAUCAAGUAUGGAAAUUGAUAUGUCUCAUUGAUUGUAUAUCUUUGAAUCAAGUCGUUGAUUGAUAUGAAAAGUUUGUCACAUGAUUCACAUAUGCCUUUGUUGUUCCUAAUUUCUCUUUGCUUCUGCCAUAUUGAAGUAUAUAUAUGGCAUAACGUUAUAUUGUAUCUAUUAUUGAACUCACUAAGCGUCACCGCUUACCCUAUUAAUGUUUAACAAUUACAAGAGAUAAGUAAUCAGUAUGAUCAUAUAUUGUUCGAAGAUUUAGAAUAGUUUGUAAUUGUACUUGUGUACUUCAGUUUAGGUUUGUAUAAAUUAAAAUAUCCUGGGUAGUUAUGUAAUAUAUAACACUUUGUAAUAGUCCCUUUCUAUCCAGUAGUUUGUAACCUCUUUAUCAAUGCAAAAUAUUGUUUUUAUGAAUAUGCAAGUAGCAUGUUUUGGAGUAACUAUAUUGCCAAAUACGAAAGUUAGGGUCUUUCAAUCAUUUAACAUAUUCAACACUCUGUGUACUAAAUUAUUCAGGAAUCUUUGAGCGAUUUCGUAGGAUUCUUCAUGAGGGAGAAAUAGACAAAAGGGUGCAGUUCUUGAUUAAAGGUCUUUUUGCAUUAAGAAAAGCCAAGUUUCAGGUUUAAAAUCUAAAAUCUUAAAAUCUUGUCAUAUCUUUAUUACUAUUUACAACUAAAAUAUAUUUUUAAUCUCCACCCAUGUUAUGUUUGCUUUACUACACAGGGGCAUCCAGCUGUUAGUCCAGAGUUGGAUCUUGUUAAGCUGGAAGAUCAGUUGACACAUGAAGUAUCCCUUCUAGAUAAAAUCGAUCCGGAAUUGCCCUAGGUACAUAAUUUUUUUAUUUUAUUUAAAAAUGAAUUUUCUAUUAUGAAUGUUUGGGUAUAAACAAUAUUUGUUGUGCAUAGAUUUUUUCAAGAUGGAUCCUGACUUCAUUGAGAAUGAAAAGAAGUUUGAAGACCUGAAGAAAACAAUUCUUGGCGACGAAUCUUCAGAAAAAGAAGAAGGUGUUGGGGAGGAUUCAGAUGAUGAUGAUGAUGAAGAUGAAUCUUCAGAAGAAGAAGAAGACGAAGAGCAAAUGAGAAUCAAAGAUGAAACAGAAACAAAUCCUGUCAAUCUUCGAGGAACAAUCUACUUAACAAUCAUGUCAAGUGUUGACUUUGAAGAAGCCGGUCAUAAACUCCUCAAAAUCAAACUCGAACCCGGACACGAGGUAAGAAAAAAAUAUUUUGUUGGUACGAUGGAAUGGAAUCGUUGAUUCCAUUCCAUUCCAAAUUUGACAGAAGUAAAAGUUUGGUUUUGGUUGUACAGAUGGAGCUAUGCAUAAUGCUACUGGAAUGUUGUAGUCAAGAGAGAACAUAUCUUCGAUACUAUGGUCUUUUAGGUCAAAGGUUUUGCAUGAUCAACAAAGUCUAUCAAGAAAAUAUUGAAAAAUGUUUUGUUCAACAAUACUCCAUGAUCCACCGCCUCGAGACUAACAAACUCAGAAUGUUGCGAAAUUCUUCGCGCAUCUCCUCGGGACGGAUGCCUUGCCUUGGCAUGUCUUGGCUUACAUUCGUCUCACUGAAGAAGACACCACUUCCUCUUCCAGGUAACUUCAUUUUUACUUUUUAAUUAUUAUUAUAAUAAUUAUUAAAAAUACCUUUUUACCCCUUUUCUUUUAUUGUACGACAGGAGCUGUCUGGGCAUCUUGGGAUUCGGCUGUUGAACGAGCGGUUGAGUGAGUCGGUGAUGCAAGAGGAUUUUGAGUCGAUUUUCCCGAGAGAUAAUCCCAAGAACACGUUGUUUUCAAUCAAUUUUUUUUACUUCCAUUGGGCUUGGUGGGAUUACUGAGAAUUUGAGGGAGUAUCUCAAGAACAUGCCUCGUCUUAUUAUGCAACAAAAGCCUGCGUCGGAAUCGGAUCCGGUUCCGGUUCUGGUUCCGAUUUCAGUUCUGAUUCUGAUUCCGGUUCCGAUUCUAGUUCGGGGUCUGAGUCGGAGAGUGAGAGUGAGACUAAUCAUAAGAGCAGCAAGCGCCGAAAGAAACGUUAGAUGCUUUACAUGUAUUGUUAUGUUGAGAAGAAAAUGAAUAUCUGGUUUUUGGUAUCUUGUAAGAUGUUAAUGACUAGUUGUUUUUGGAGGUUUGUUUUAUUUGAUUGUAACGUUAUAUGAUUUUCAACAAACUGGAUCUCAAUGUGUAAAAUCUGUAAUGGUUUUGUGAUUUUGUUUUUAAAGAAAUUUUUUAUGGGAUGUUUGAGAGAUCAAUUUGUUGAGGUUCAUACAUGGAUCAACACAACUCACAACCCAAUGACAUGUUAAAACUAAAGUUCCUGAUGCUAUCCAUCAACAAAGUAUUUAUGCAAUCAAUAAAUAUUGGAAUUUUAGAUUUUUUCUUAAUAUUUCAGGAAUUUUAGCCUAUGUUGUCUUGUGGGCAAUAAUGCUAAAACUGAUUUAAUUAAAAAAAAUAAAUUAACUAUUUAGCGGGGAGUUGAAUAGGAUUGCAAAAAGGUAAAAUGAAAUUCUCAUUAUUAUUACGUUUAUGUUUAUGUCGUUGAUAUAUUAUGUAUGAGGAUUUAACCUUCAUUCAUUCGUUUAAUAAGAAAACUGAUAGAGACUUUAUUUUUAUAAUAAUAAAAUAAAAUAAAAAUUAGUAUCAUUUUUUUUGAUAAUGUGACAACCCAAAGUUUGCUCCAUCGCCGUAACUCGUUUCCGUCCAUAAAAUUAAUAUUUUUCGAAUUGUUUCCGUUUAAGCUUUUAAAUUAAGUCAUUAUUUUUGAGGCUUCUAUUAUGAAUUAAUUGGUAUCCAAACACGUUAGAAACUCAUGAAAACAUCCCAAAUUAUUAUUUAGAAAAUUAUUAGUUACGACAACGUUGAGUUACGGCAAAUUAAUCGGGUACGACCAAAAGCUCCGUUUAACGUCGGUAUCGGGUAGAAUUUAUCCGGGCCAUAAACUCAACCCCUAUAUAAGGGAUUGAGUGACAUCAUUUUGAAGCUUUUUCUCUCUCUUAAAACACUUUCUCUCACUACUCUCUCUCUAAAAACUCGAGUUUGAUCCAAAAACCCCAUUUCAAGCUUCAAUUUGGUAAGUAAUCUAUCCUAGCUUGUUGUUAAGCUUUCUUAUCAUGGAAAUCUAUGUUUGAAUCACCCAAAACACUCAAGAACAUGUGUUUAUGGUUUAAGAACCCUUCCAAAACCAUGAACACCCCUAAAGAGGGUUUUGAAGCCCUAAAACCCUUCCAAAUCACUCCUAGUGCUUAGAUAUGGCUUAGAAACUUGCAUGCAUGAGCUUAGGACCCCAAAAUCUCACCAAUUGAGGUAUGGACAUGAGUUUACGGCCCAAGAACAUUCUUGGACCUUAAACCCUCAUUCAUGGACCAUAAACACCUUUUUAAGGUGUUAAAUUACCCUUAAACACCUCCAAAGGCUUCCAUGAGCUUCCAUGAGUGCAUAGAACCUUAUAUUCCUUCAUGAGAUGCACCAAAACAUACACAAAUGAAUCAAACUUGAGUUUAUGGCCCAAGAACACUAUUGGACCGUAAACACCCCUCCUUAGACCAUAAACACCCCCAAAGGGUGUUAAAGUGCCUUUAACACCUUAUAUGGCUUGGAAUUGGGCCUAGAACUUUGUAUGCUUAACCUACAACCACUAAAACCCAUGAAUCAUGGAAAACAUGAGUUUACGGUUGUAAACUCAUGUGUUUAAGGUAGUAAACUCCCCAAUAACAUCUUCAUAAACCAUAAACUCCUUAUCCAAGGUCAUUUCAAGUCCCGAUCACUUCCUAAGCCAUGGAAUCAACCCUAGAACCUUCCCGUGUGCAUUCUAAGACCAUUUGGCAUCCAAGAACACACCACCCAUGAGUUUACGGCCGUAAACUCAUGGGGAUAUGAUCAUUGGACCAUAAAAUCCCCUAAGGGCUUAUUCUUGAAGAGUAAACUCCAUAAUUAGGCCUUACACACCCUUAGAUGCCACCUGGGUCACUCCGAACACUUGAUUUGAAAUGUUUUCGCGCCUCAAAUUGUUUAUUCAUUUUAAAUAGUAGAUCAAGGUAUAAUUAGAUACAUUUUAUGUAUCUCUUCAUAUUACAUAGGAAUCUUGUGCGUUUGCAAGCCCCGAACUGACGUUUAGCAUCCGAACCGACACGUUCCUCGACUGGUGAGUUCAUACCCCUACUCUUUUUCCGUGUUUUUCAAAUGUUUUCAAGGGGAAUACAAGCAAAAUUACAAGGAAAUCUUGUACUCAAACUUAUUAUUUCAGUUCAAAUGUUUAUAUUCUGUAUGUUUUUAAUAUCGAAAACCGUAUUAACCAAUAAUUCGAAUUGCAGAGUUAGCGUUCAGAUUAAUCAUAGAUUUCUUGAUAAAGUGUUAUAAUCUAUGUUAUAUCUCAUAAUCUACGAAGAAUUCAUACUAAUCAUUAAUUAGGAAUAUUACUAAUAAGAUACGCCCUCGGAUAGUAAUAGAAUGAUGAAAGUACAACUAGGAAUAAAACGAAUACGAAUAAUACGAAUACGAAUAAAAGGAAUACGAAAGUACGCCUUUGGAUAUCGACAGAGUUUCGAAAAUACUGCUAAUUAAAGUAGAUAUUCGACAUUCGAGUGUAGGAUAACUAGGAUAACAAAAUACCUAAUUAAUAUAACAAGUAUGAUAGAUACUAGGGCAUAGCAUUCUGAACCAAGAACUAACCAUGACUUUAGGAAAAUAAGGGUUUUUCCUGGGAUAACGAAUUGUUCCUAACGAAAUUGUAGAAUAAACGAAUAACGAAUUCUCUUAUAGGAAAAUUGAUGGGUUUGAGCCAUAAGAACAUUCAUAUGUGCACAUACAAACCCUAAUGCUUGGAUCUAGGUUUCUCUAAUUGAACAUGCAUUGCAUCCAAGACUUCUAAUGAUAAUUCUAGUAUAAUAACAUAAGAAAUCAAAUUUGGAAGAUUACCUUGAAUCACUUGCUUGAAUCUUCUUGUCCUUGGAGCUUUAGAGUCACAAGUGUCACUCCUCUAAUGGCUUACAAACACCAACUUAGCAAGAGGAUUAUUAGAGAGAGAGGGAGGAGGGCAAGAAAUCGUCCAAGGUUUCUUCAAAGGCAAGAGUGCCGAUUUCCUUGACCCCAAGGGUCUAUUUAUACUAGUGAGGCUCCUAGUGUUUCACCCUUAAACCCUAAUUGGAUAACUUAGGCCCUAAGCAAUCCAAUCUCCUUAUGAUAAGCCUUGGACGAUUUCUAGGUCUAUCCUAACCUUAAAAUCGUACACCCCUUAUCUAUUAAGGAUAAUAGCCUAAAGUACAACUAUCAUACAAUUGACAGUUUAUGCCCCUUUAUUCAAUUAAUCUCUUUAAGUCACCAAAUUAAUUCCUAAUUAAUUUAUGACUNGGGCCAUAAACUCAACCCCUAUAUAAGGGAUUGAGUGACAUCAUUUUGAAGCUUUUUCUCUCUCUUAAAACACUUUCUCUCACUACUCUCUCUCUAAAAACUCGAGUUUGAUCCAAAAACCCCAUUUCAAGCUUCAAUUUGGUAAGUAAUCUAUCCUAGCUUGUUGUUAAGCUUUCUUAUCAUGGAAAUCUAUGUUUGAAUCACCCAAAACACUCAAGAACAUGUGUUUAUGGUUUAAGAACCCUUCCAAAACCAUGAACACCCCUAAAGAGGGUUUUGAAGCCCUAAAACCCUUCCAAAUCACUCCUAGUGCUUAGAUAUGGCUUAGAAACUUGCAUGCAUGAGCUUAGGACCCCAAAAUCUCACCAAUUGAGGUAUGGACAUGAGUUUACGGCCCAAGAACAUUCUUGGACCUUAAACCCUCAUUCAUGGACCAUAAACACCUUUUUAAGGUGUUAAAUUACCCUUAAACACCUCCAAAGGCUUCCAUGAGCUUCCAUGAGUGCAUAGAACCUUAUAUUCCUUCAUGAGAUGCACCAAAACAUACACAAAUGAAUCAAACUUGAGUUUAUGGCCCAAGAACACUAUUGGACCGUAAACACCCCUCCUUAGACCAUAAACACCCCCAAAGGGUGUUAAAGUGCCUUUAACACCUUAUAUGGCUUGGAAUUGGGCCUAGAACUUUGUAUGCUUAACCUACAACCACUAAAACCCAUGAAUCAUGGAAAACAUGAGUUUACGGUUGUAAACUCAUGUGUUUAAGGUAGUAAACUCCCCAAUAACAUCUUCAUAAACCAUAAACUCCUUAUCCAAGGUCAUUUCAAGUCCCGAUCACUUCCUAAGCCAUGGAAUCAACCCUAGAACCUUCCCGUGUGCAUUCUAAGACCAUUUGGCAUCCAAGAACACACCACCCAUGAGUUUACGGCCGUAAACUCAUGGGGAUAUGAUCAUUGGACCAUAAAAUCCCCUAAGGGCUUAUUCUUGAAGAGUAAACUCCAUAAUUAGGCCUUACACACCCUUAGAUGCCACCUGGGUCACUCCGAACACUUGAUUUGAAAUGUUUUCGCGCCUCAAAUUGUUUAUUCAUUUUAAAUAGUAGAUCAAGGUAUAAUUAGAUACAUUUUAUGUAUCUCUUCAUAUUACAUAGGAAUCUUGUGCGUUUGCAAGCCCCGAACUGACGUUUAGCAUCCGAACCGACACGUUCCUCGACUGGUGAGUUCAUACCCCUACUCUUUUUCCGUGUUUUUCAAAUGUUUUCAAGGGGAAUACAAGCAAAAUUACAAGGAAAUCUUGUACUCAAACUUAUUAUUUCAGUUCAAAUGUUUAUAUUCUGUAUGUUUUUAAUAUCGAAAACCGUAUUAACCAAUAAUUCGAAUUGCAGAGUUAGCGUUCAGAUUAAUCAUAGAUUUCUUGAUAAAGUGUUAUAAUCUAUGUUAUAUCUCAUAAUCUACGAAGAAUUCAUACUAAUCAUUAAUUAGGAAUAUUACUAAUAAGAUACGCCCUCGGAUAGUAAUAGAAUGAUGAAAGUACAACUAGGAAUAAAACGAAUACGAAUAAUACGAAUACGAAUAAAAGGAAUACGAAAGUACGCCUUUGGAUAUCGACAGAGUUUCGAAAAUACUGCUAAUUAAAGUAGAUAUUCGACAUUCGAGUGUAGGAUAACUAGGAUAACAAAAUACCUAAUUAAUAUAACAAGUAUGAUAGAUACUAGGGCAUAGCAUUCUGAACCAAGAACUAACCAUGACUUUAGGAAAAUAAGGGUUUUUCCUGGGAUAACGAAUUGUUCCUAACGAAAUUGUAGAAUAAACGAAUAACGAAUUCUCUUAUAGGAAAAUUGAUGGGUUUGAGCCAUAAGAACAUUCAUAUGUGCACAUACAAACCCUAAUGCUUGGAUCUAGGUUUCUCUAAUUGAACAUGCAUUGCAUCCAAGACUUCUAAUGAUAAUUCUAGUAUAAUAACAUAAGAAAUCAAAUUUGGAAGAUUACCUUGAAUCACUUGCUUGAAUCUUCUUGUCCUUGGAGCUUUAGAGUCACAAGUGUCACUCCUCUAAUGGCUUACAAACACCAACUUAGCAAGAGGAUUAUUAGAGAGAGAGGGAGGAGGGCAAGAAAUCGUCCAAGGUUUCUUCAAAGGCAAGAGUGCCGAUUUCCUUGACCCCAAGGGUCUAUUUAUACUAGUGAGGCUCCUAGUGUUUCACCCUUAAACCCUAAUUGGAUAACUUAGGCCCUAAGCAAUCCAAUCUCCUUAUGAUAAGCCUUGGACGAUUUCUAGGUCUAUCCUAACCUUAAAAUCGUACACCCCUUAUCUAUUAAGGAUAAUAGCCCAAAGUACAACUAUCAUACAAUUGACAGUUUAUGCCCCUUUAUUCAAUUAAUCUCUUUAAGUCACCAAAUUAAUUCCUAAUUAAUUUAUGACUUAUAUUAAUCAAAUAACAAUAUAAUUAUUCCCUAUAUUAUUCUCAUAAUAUAUUAAUAAUAUUUCUUCUCUCAUUAUAAAUCAUCCUGUCAAGUUGCUAUGGUGAAGGCAACCCAAAAGGACCAUGCACAACCGGGUCAAAUACUUGCCAAAUAUAGUUGCAGCCUUAGACACUAUUCCAACAGUCUCCCACUUGGAUAAGUCUAGUAACUAUAUAUACAAGUACAAUCCGGUUUGCAAUCGUAGCUCUCAAAGACGCUGUCAAACUCUGAUCUAAUCAAUCUUGUCCUUUAGAUAAGGGAUCGUACAGUCCUCUGUUAGAUAUCAUGCUGACAAUCCUAUGGAAUGGUUAGUCAAGCAUUUAGGUUUCUCGAUCUCUGAUUUAUUUGACAUAGAACUUAAUCGAACACAUCAAUUCAGUUCUGACCGGGCCCGGCACAUAAGUCAAAUCAAAUCAUCGAGCGGCCGAGAUAUCGCUUUUACCUUCUUAGAUAAAAGUUACAGAUAAACUUCGACUUAUAUGCAUUUACUUAUUCAUUAACCAACUAUACACAACAAUACGUUUUAUAACACCAAGUUACUGAUGCGUUUUCGUAUUAUCAAUGUACAAUCAAUUAACAAAUAAUAAACCAUAUAUCUAGGUUUUAAGACUAUAUGAUAUUAUCGUCUUGCGAUCACCUUUUAUAUCGUAUUCCAUAAGGUGAUUCCAGCAAGCGCGGGUUUAUUCCAAUGCUCAAAACUAGUUCAUAAGCACUCAUGAACGUUGCAGCAAUCCUUUGCUAUGUCUAACACCAUUUAGACAAUCUACACACCAAUUCAUGACAAUCUUCAUUCAUAUCUACUCCCAACAUAUGAACGAUUGUGGACCAUUUGAACAAUUCGAUUAUUCCUAAUAAACUCAAUUAUUCUGGAAGUCAAAACAUGCAAAGUGAAACAAUAGCUAAACAAUUAACAUAAGAUAGUAACAUUACUCAUAAAUAAAACUCCUUUAUUUAAUCAUCAAAUGUCAAUUACAUUUAUCUAUUACACGUUUCUAAUACUAUCUAAUCUAUGCUAAUAUCAUCCUUCAGCCCAAUACUCCUAGCAUGCUGCAAGUGCUUAACCCUACUCAGUCCCUUCGUAAGCGGAUCUGCUGGGUUAUCUUCUGAUGAUAUCCUCUUCACUACGAGUUGUCCUUCUUCUACACGAUGUCUAAUGAAGUGAUACUUUCUGUCGAUAUGUCUUGAUCUACCAUGAUCCCUCGGUUCCUUGGUCAAGGCAACCGCGCCUUCGUUAUCACAGAAAAUCUCCAUUGGCUCCUUUAUGGCAGGUACAACUCCAAGAUCACCGAUGAAGUUCUUUAGCCAUAUUGCCUCCUUCGACGCUUCGCUCGCUGCAAUGUACUCUGAUUCGCACGUUGAAUCAGCUACGGUUUCCUGCUUGGAACUCUUCCAUGUCACUGCUCCUCCAUUUAGGGUAAAGACCCAGCCCGACUGCGAACGGUAGUUGUCCCUGUCGGUCUGAAAACUGGCGUCACUAUACCCUCGCACCUUCAAGUCAUCACUCCCUCCGAGGACUAAGAACCAUUCCUUCGUCCUCCGAAGGUACUUAAGGAUAUUCUUCACCGCAAUCCAAUGUGCUUUGCCAGGAUUCCCUUGAUAUCUGCUAACCAUGCUCAAAGCGAAGGCUACAUCAGGGCGAGUACAAGUCAUAGCGUACAUGAUUGAGCCAACUGCGGAAGCGUAUGGUACUCGGCUCAUUUCUGCUAUCUCAGCUUCGGUACUCGGACUUUGAGUCUUACUCAAUUUGGCAUUACUUUGUAUCGGUAGUUCUCCCUUCUUUGAGUUUUCCAUACUAAAACGUUUUAGUACCUUCUCUAAGUAAGUAUUCUGACUAAGUCCAAUUAGUCUCUUACUUCUUUCUCUUACUAUCCUUAUUCCCAAAAUGUAAGAAGCCUCUCCGAGGUCCUUCAUAGCGAAGCACUUCCCGAGCCAGGACUUAACCUCCUGCAGAGUCGGGAUGUCGUUUCCUAUGAGUAAUAUGUCAUCGACAUAUAGAACGAGGAAGCUUACUAUACUCCCACUGGCUUUGACAUAUACACAUGAUUCAUCUUCGCUCCGUACAAAUCCAAACUCUUUGACUUUCUCAUCGAAGCAAAGAUUCCAUCUGCGAGACGCUUGCUUAAGUCCAUAAAUGGACUUCUCAAGCUUACACACUCUAUUUGGAUGCUUCGAAUCAACAAAACCCUAUGGCUGAGCCAUGUAAACAUCCUCAGCCAACUUCCCAUUAAGGAAAGCGGUCUUGACAUCCAUUUGCCAAAUCUCAUAAUCAUGAAAUGCGGCAAUUGCUAGCAUCACUCUAAUAGAUUUUAUCUUCGCAACUGGUGAGAAGGUCUCAUCAUAGUCAACUCCGGGAGUUUGAGUAAAGCCCUUCGCAACCAAUCGCGCCUUAUAUGUGUGUACAUUUCCAUCCACGUCGGUCUUCUUCUUGAAGAUCCAUUUGCACCCAACGGUCUUACGUCCGGGCACAUUAUCAACCAAAUUCCAAACUUGGUUGUCAUACAUGGACUGGAUCUCGCUGUCCAUUGCCUCUUUCCAUUUUUCAGACUCCGGGCCUGCCAUGGCUUCCUUAAAGCUAUUAGGUUCAUCUAGAUUUACUAGUGUACCAUCACUAAUAUACGUGUCCCCUUCGGUAGUAAUAUGAAAACCAUAAAACUGGGGUUGAACUCUAACUCUUUCGGAACGUCUAAGAGGUAAGGAUUGGUUAAUAGGUUCAACCGGAGUUUCCUCCUCGGGUUGAGUGCCAGCGGUAGAGGUUCCUUCAUCUAUCGAUUCUUGAAUCUCUUCAAGCUUGAUUUGCCUCCCAUUGUCUCCUUGGCUUAUGAGUUCUAAAUUGUUUCUUCUUUCAAAUGCCUAUUUAUUCUUAGUUUGACUCAAAGACAAAUCUUUCUUCAUAUUUGCUCUCGGAAAACUCCUAUCCUCGCAACGAAGACUACAUUGUCACUCGGUCUAUAGAAGAGAUAUCCAAAGGAUUUCUGCGGGUAAACGAUGAAAAUACAUCGCUCACUACGAGGUUCGAGCUUGUCGUGAGUAUCUCGUCUUACGAAAGCCUCGCAACCCCAAACCUUGAUAUGUGCUAACGAGGGAGCUUUCCCUGUCCACAUCUCGUGAGGUGUUUUGGCAACCUUCUUAGUAGGGACUCGGUUAAGGAUAUGGGCGGCAGUCUCUAAGGCAUACCCCUAGAAUAGGAUAGAUAGUGAAGCACGAAUCAUCAUAGAGCGGAACAUGUCUAACAAGGUUCGAUUACGCCUUUCUGCCACACCAUUCAACUGCGGUGUCCUAGGCGGUGUCAAUUGUGAAACUAUUCCACACUCUUUAGAUAGUCGUGGAGUUCAAGACUUAGGUACUCUCCUCCUCGAUCAGAUCGAAGCAUCUUGAUUUUCCUGCCCAAUUGAUUCUCCACUUCAUUUUUGAACUCUUUGAACUUUUCAAACGUUUCUGACUUUUGCUUGAUUAAGUAGAUAUACCCAUAUCUACUAUAGUCAUCGGUAAAAGUCACAUAGAAGCGGUUCCCAUCCUUCGUGGUUGAUCUAAACGGUCCACAUACAUCGGUAUGUAUUAGGUCCAAUAGACCCUCACCCCUUUCACAUGUACUUGUGAAGGGUGACUUAGUCAUCUUUCCAAGUAAACAAGACUCGCAUGUGUCAUCUUCCCUAAGGUCGAAUGACUCCAACACUCCAUCCUUUUGGAGUUGGGCUAUGUGCUUCUUGUUGACAUGUCCAAGACGACAAUGCCACAAGGAUGCUUUAUCCAUACUAUUGGAAGAAUCCAUGUAUAAAACAUCAUUUCCUAGGUUAUCUACAAUCAUAACAGUUUCAUAAAUUCCAUUACAUGGCAUUACCUCAAAAUAUAAGACACCAUUUAGAUAAGCAUAAAUAGAACCAUUCUCAUUAUUAAAAGAAAAUCUAAAUCCUUGUCUAAAAAAACCAUGAAAUGAAAUGAUGUUUCUUGCCAUUUCUGGCGAAUAGCAACAAUUGCUCAAAUCUAAACAUAAUCCAUUCCUAAGCACUAGAGAAUACACUCCAAUCUUGGUCACAGGCGACGAUCUUCUGUUCCCCAUGAUUAGAUUUAUUCUUCCACGCUCCACAUCCCUAUUUCUUCUUAGUCCCUCAAUUCAGAACAAAUAUGGUAACCACAACCGAUAUCGAGGACCCAAGAAAUAGCAUGAGAUGAAUCAUUAGAUUUAAUUGUAUAAAUACCUGCGAAAGAUGACUUGAUCUUUCCUUCCCUGAUAGCUUGCAGGUAUCACUCUGCCUCCUUUGGGUUUGGGUUGGGCUUAGCAGGAUCAACUUUGGUCCCACUAGAAGAGGAACCAUCUCGGGACUUUCCCUUGCGGUGGCUCUUAGACGAAGCCUUCCUCUUCUUGCCUCUUCCCUGCCCAAUGGCCAAAACAGGAGUAACGGGUGGAUUGGGAGUGGGUGCAACAGACUUGCCCUUGAGGUUGCUCUUAACAACCCUAAGGAGACCUUGGAGCUUACUUAGGGUGACCUCUUCCUUGUUCAUGUGGUAGGUCAUCCUAAAUUGGUUGUAACACGGAGGCAAGGAGUGAAGGACCAUGUCGAUAACCAAGUCUUCCCCAAAGUCAACAUUCAACUUGCGAAGACGAUCGACAUACCUUUGCAUCUUUUGCAAGUGUACGGUUAGAGAUUCUCCAUGUCCCAUUUUAGCGGAGAUCAUGUUAGUGAAAAUCUCGUAACGCUCCUGCCUCGCGUUUUGAUGGUAUCUCUCCAAUAAGUCUUGAUGCAUAUCGUACAGGUACAUGUCCUCAUAGGACUUUUGGAAUUCGGCGUUCAUUGUGGCUAUCAUGAUGCAAUGAACCUUCGUUGCAUCACGCUCAUGAGUUUCAAAAGCAGCCAUUUCAGCUGGAGUAGCGAUUUCUGGAUUGAUCUUCUCGAGCUUUUCGUUGAGGACAUACUCCUUGUCCUCGUAGCGAGCAAUCGUGCAAAUGUAUCUUAUCCAUUCGCUAAAGUUCGUUCCAUCAAAAGUCAGCUUUUGGCAAAGGCUCAUCAAUGUGAAUGAACUAGCAGCAACGUUGUUCGCGUUCGACAUCUACAAAUAGAAAGGACAAAUAUUGAUUAGAAUUUGAAUCCCUAAUAAUCACCCAAUAAGAAAAUUUAGGGCUAGGAUCCAACAACAUUAUUUACAUAUUAGAAAAGGGAUGUCGUAAUCUAACAUGCAAACAAUUUGAAGGUAAGUGAAUGACGAUUCACUAAUUCUCCACCAUGAAAACCUAACCUUAAGUUCUAAGUGUAUUGAGAAUUCCUAGGUUUCGAUGAGAUUCAUUGAACUUUUCAAUGGCAUGUUUAAAUCUCGAUAUGUCCCUCUCGUUUGUGACUGGGAUACCGAGGAUCACAAAGUGGGUGUGAAUAACCAUGCAAAUGUACAUGGUGCCUUCAUUGUAACAAUCGCCUAUUCGAAGUGCCGGUAAACCACACACGCUCCACUAACUUCUUAGCAAGGGUGCAAAGUGUAAUUUCAUGGGAUUGAAUCAAUUCACUUUUCCUAAAGUAACUAGGAUUGGGAAUUUGAAAAACAUGUAGUUACUUUAUAGGUUCAUUAUACUUAUUAAUGAGGAGAUNNNNNNNNNNNNNNNNNNNNNNNNNNNNNNNNNNNNNNNNNNNNNNNNNNNNNNNNNNNNNNNNNNNNNNNNNNNNNNNNNNNNNNNNNNNNNNNNNNNNNNNNNNNNNNNNNNNNNNNNNNNNNNNNNNNNNNNNNNNNNNNNNNNNNNNNNNNNNNNNNNNNNNNNNNNNNNNNNNNNNNNNNNNNNNNNNNNNNNNNNNNNNNNNNNNNNNNNNNNNNNNNNNNNNNNNNNNNNNNNNNNNNNNNNNNNNNAUAUAUAUAUAUAUUAAUCUUGUAAUAUUAUAUUAGUAUAGGGUUGAAUUUUAAACUUGUAAAAUUCUAGGGUUUGAAAUUUAAAUUGUCUAAAUUAAACUUUUAAUCACAAAACAUAAAUUUCAAAACUUGAGGACAAGUUUUAAACUUUUCAAAACAUAAGGGAUCAAAUAACAAAUAAUCCAAAUUAACAUUUAAUCACAUAAUUAUCCAUAUUUGAUUUAUUUAAUUAUUUCUUGCAAAACAAUUUACCAAUUUAAUAAAAUAAUCAAUCAAUUAUCACAUAAGGAAAUUAUUAUUCAAUUUAUUGGUAAAUAUCUUUAAUUAGGUCAAGGAUAUACUCAAAUAUAUAUUAAAAUCGGAUUUAUAUUGACCCAUUAAGAUAAAGGCAAGUUUCCAUAAGAUAAACAGCAAGAAAUCCCGAACUUAGCUCUUUCUGACGCUCGAACUCGCCGAGUACCACAAUGGACUCGCCGAGUACCACCAUGGGACUCGCCGAGUUCAUCAGGCAGAAACACAAAAAUCAAAUUUUGCAAAUAACAAUCAAGCAACUAAUGCAACAAUUCAAUAGAAACCAAUCAAGGCUCUGAUACAACUGAUGGGUUUGAGCCAUAAGAACAUUCCUAUGUGCACAUACAAACCCUAAUGCUUGGAUCUAGGUUUCUCUAAUUGAACAUGCAUUGCAUCCAAGACUUCUAAUGAUAAUUCUAGUAUAAUAACAUAAGAAAUCAGAUUUGGAAGAUUACCUUGAAUCACUUGCUUGAAUCUUCUUGUCCUUGGAGCUUUAGAGUCACAAGUGUCACUCCUCUAAUGGCUUACAAACACCAACUUAGCAAGAGGAUUAUUACAGAGAGAGGGAGGAGGGCAAGAAAUCGGCCAGGGUUUCUUCAAAGGCAAGAGUGCCGAUUUCCUUGACCCCAAGGGUCUAUUUAUCCUAGUGAGGCUCCUAGUGUUUCACCCUUAAACCCUAAUUGGAUAACUUAGGCCCUAAGCAAUCCAAUUUCCUUAUGAUAAGCCUUGGACGAUUUCUAGGUCUAUCCUAACCUUAAAAUCGUACACCCCUUAUCUAUUAAGGAUAAUAGCCCAAAGUACAACUAUCAUACAAUUGACAGUUUAUGCCCCUUUAUUCAAUUAAUCUCUUUAAGUCACCAAAUUAAUUCCUAAUUAAUUUAUGACUUAUAUUAAUCAAAUAACAAUAUAAUUAUUCCCUAUAUUAUUCUCAUAAUAUAUUAAUAAUAUUUCUUCUCUCAUUAUAAAUCAUCCUGUCAAGUUGCUAUGGUGAAGGCAACCCAAAAGGACCAUGCACAACCGGGUCAAAUACUUGCCAAAUAUAGUUGCAACCUUAGACACUAUUCCAACAAAAAUAGGGGUUUCCUGAGAUAACGAGCUGUUCCUAAUCAAAUUGUAGAAUAACGAAUAACUAACUCACAUAUAAGAAAAUAUGAGAUUUUCUUGGAUAAUGACUUUUUCAGAAAAACCAAAGGAAACCUAUUCUUUUACAAAAAUAAACCGCUUAUGAACUCACCAGCUUUAUGCUGAUUUUCAAAUUGCUGGUAUUCUCAUAUCCACAUUAGACAGGUACACAACUAUCUUUUGGAGAAGACGGAGCAUACAGAAGACUCGUCUUAACUUUUGUUCAUAUGAUAUAUAUAUGUAUAACUUUUGUAACAUUUUGCUUUCAAACAAAUGUAAAUAUUCAUAUGUAAUGUAAUGUUUUGUGCCUACUAUGCUUACUAUGUACAUUGGUUGCGAUACUUCAUGACGUCCUCCGUCCCGGAACGUUUUCGCCAUCGGUUUCGGGGUGUGACAAAUAAAUACAAAAAUGUAUAAAUAAAAAAUAUAAACAACAAUAUACUUAAAUCACAGUUUUAUUUUAAAGCCUUCAUUUUGUUUUAUCAUUUACUAUUUAAAUUAUAGUUUUAUUAGGUAUCAUACUAUUUAUAUUAUUCUAUUUAUAUUAUUAGUAUAUAUAUAUAUAUAUAUAUAUAUAUAUAUAUGAUAAGGGUGUUUUAGUAAUUUAGUUAAGUAAAUUAAUUAUUAUAUAUUUUAAAUUCAUAUAUAAUUAAUUUUGAAGAAUACGGUUAUAUAUGAUUGGGUUAAUCAUUCUGGACCAAGUAUAUAAUGUAUAAUUUACUUCAUCAGUUCAUCCGUUAAAUAAGGUUCUAUAUAACCCAAUUCUUUAAGAAUGCAUCAUUUUCAACCAUUUUAUUUUGAAGAACAUGCUUACAUAUAAAUCUUAGUCAUUCUUAAAGAAUUCAAAGUAAAACAUGAUCAUCCUAUUCUCAUUUUCAACUAUUUAUAGUUAGUCAUUCUCUUAAAAUUCUUUCAAUUAAUAGUCAUUCUCUUAAAAUUCUUUCAAUUAAUUGCAAAAUUCAUAUGUAAUUCUUUAAGAACACAUAUUAAAAACCUAUUUUUAACUAUUACAUUCUUAAAUAAUAUGGCUACUAACAAGACAUUCGUUAUACUCUUAAAGAAUAUAAACAAAAACCAUUUUUUAUGUGACGAUUAAUUAUGGUCACUGAUAACCAAAACGUUGAUCAUGAAUACAUAAUUCUUUAAGAAUAUAAACUAGAGAAAUAUUUUUAACCUUUUCGUUCUUAAAUAAUAAUUGUCGCAUUCAUAAAGAAUACAAAUUAACAAACCAUUUUUUGUUAUGUUUCUACAAUUACUCAAACUUUUCGUUUAUGAAAAAUCAUUAGUAAUUGUGGUAACGACAAAAAUGAUUUAAUAAGAAUGGAGGUUAUGAAAUGAAAUCCUUUACUAUUAGUAAUUUAUUAAAUUGUUGUUGAGCAAAUUGUCAUAUUUACCCAUAUCAAUUAUUUUAAAAUAUAAAAUAAUUAAUUUCUUUCUUAUUACCAUCAUGUCAUUGUCAUCUUAACCACCAUUUUUUUUAAUCUAAUGGACAAGAAUCGGUCAUACAAUCAUAUAGUUUUUACAAUUCAUAUUUAAUCCUAACCCUAUAUAUAUAUAUAUANNNNNNNNNNNNNNNNNNNNNNNNNNNNNNNNNNNNNNNNNNNNNNNNNNNNNNNNNNNNNNNNNNNNNNNNNNNNNNNNNNNNNNNNNNNNNNNNNNNNNNNNNNNNNNNNNNNNNNNNNNNNNNNNNNNNNNNNNNNNNNNNNNNNNNNNNNNNNNNNNNNNNNNNNNNNNNNNNNNNNNNNNNNNNNNNNNNNNNNNNNNNNNNNNNNNNNNNNNNNNNNNNNNNNNNNNNNNNNNNNNNNNNNNNNNNNNNNNNNNNNNNNNNNNNNNNNNNNNNNNNNNNNNNNNNNNNNNNNNNNNNNNNNNNNNNNNUAUAUAUAGUACAACUAAAAGGGCCAAACAACGGGGAUCAAAUUGACUAAAUGGGCUAUACACUAAUUUGAAUUAUCAACCUUUACAAGGUUUGACUUAGACCCAUGUAACAUAUUUCUUUAAUUUCAACAAUACCAUCUUAUUCGACUUCUUUCUUCUUGUCUGCAAUUUCGAAGGUUGUGUUUAAUCAAUCAAUAAAUUACUCUUUCAACUCAUCUUCUUGUGUUUCAACUAGCUUAUUUGGGUAUCCAUGUUGGGGUUUGAUGCACUGUAAAACAAAUAAAGAAAACAUAUAAUGAAACCGAAACAAAAUUUCCAAAGUUUUAACCCCAAUAGACAACCUAGUGGUGAUCACUUGGGGUUAAACACUUACAAAUGAGUGGAUCUCAGAUUAGAAUCCUACAAUCUUCAACUUUGGGUGACUUAUAGUUAAUAAAAACUACUUACUAUCUUUUGAAACUCUUGCGUAUAACACCGAACAAAGGUUUUAGAUUAUUCACAUAAUUAUGCUACUACAAAGUUAAUAAAAAAUAUUAUAGGCUUAAUUUAUAAAGACCUUUCUCUCUCCUUUUUUGUUUAUCUCUUGAAUGCAUAAACUUUAUACUUAGUUAUUUUACUUAACAUAAAUGUUUCUUCAAAAAAUGUUUAAAAUAACAUAUUACACAUGUGCAAAGUACUCAACUUUUUACAAAUUAUACUUUCAAGAUAAAAGUUAUUUUGCGAAACAUGUAAUUUUUGCAAAUCAAAUUUCUACAAAAAAAAGGAUGGUGUUCUAUCACCAAAUGACUGCCGGUUUAUGUAACUAUCACAUUGACUAAGCAUAUAAUCAGGGCCGGUCCUGAAAAAUGAAAUAUUCUUAAAGGCUCAGGACGAACAAGAAAAAAAUGGUCCUUAUCUUUAUUAUAAUUUUGUAUUUUUAAAUAAAAAUAUAUAAUGAAAAAAAUUGGGCCCUAUGCAGUUGUCCACUUUACCCCCCUCUAAGCCCCCAUGCAUAUAAUUAAGAUGAACACUCGGUAAAAACAAAAAAAUAUGAUUUUUUUGCAAAAACCCACAAACCAUAUAGCACUAUGUUAAAUAAUUUAAACAUGAAAAAAAUUGUGAAAUUUAACAUUUUGCAAAAUGAUUUAUGAAUUAUGCUUAUUUUGGAAAAUGAAAUUAUAUAUAUAUAUAUAUAUAUAUAUAUAUANUUUGCUAUAAUUAAGGGAGAGGAAAUUAUACUUCAUCUCAAAUCUAAAAGCUUAGAUUGAUGUUUUAAUCGUAUUUAGUCAAGGGUAUAUAUGUAUAUAUAUAUAUAUAUAUAUAUAUAUAUAUGUGUGUGUGUGUGUGUGAAUUCCUUAAUGUAUGAAACAAAAUAAAACUGAAUUUUUCAAUAAAAACAAAAAAGAAAAUGUUGGUUUUGUAAAAUGGUUUGGUCUUUUCAAAUUCAAAAUUUAUGUUUAGUUUUUUUGGUCAUGUUUCGGGUCUUUUUUGCAAUUUUAGUUUUUGGCUUUCUCGCAAAUUCUGUUAACUUUUAAUAAGUUUGAUAUGAAAGUAUGUUAUAAUGGUUCCGUAAAGAUAUUUAUGUUGUAUAUUAAAGUUUAAACAUUAAACAUGACAUUGAGAGUUAAUGAUAGAACCUUACAACUCAACAAUUUUUUCCAUGAAAACAAGAAACAAAACCAACAAAUUGAUGGUUUAGUAUUUUCAAAAUUAUAAAACCGAAAUUUUCGGUUUGUUUUUGAUUUUAAUCAAAAUUGAAACAUUUUCAUUCCCUGGUAGUUAACAAACUAUGAUCUAUGGAGUUUGUUUUUGAUUUUAAUCAAAAUUGAAACAUUUUCAUUUUUUGCUAGUUAACAAAUUAUGAUCUAUGGUCAGAAAUUAUGUUGUAUUAAAAAACAUGUUUUUUUAAUGAUGGUUUUUGAAGAAAAAUAAUUACGAAUGAUUUUUUUGAAAUUUAUUAGAAAUCUUAAUGGUUUAUUUGAAAAAAGAAAAAUAAAACAAUGAAUUUUUAGAUAAAAGCUUGAAAAUUCAAUGAUUUUUUUUCUUUCAAAAGCCGGGUUAGUAAAAGAUCCAGAAGGUUUGAUCGGGUCACCAUUUAAGUUUCCCCUUUUCUCUUCACGACACGCGCGCACACACAUACACAUACACAUACACACCCUAGAAAUUACAGCGACAAAUCUCCAGGAUUCGGAGCUCACUAACAAAGGAUUCCCUGUAAGUCAAAUGUGUAUGAACUCUUCUCUCUCCAUUUCAAUUUCAUUUCAGUCUCUCGAAUUUCGCUUGUUUUAGGUGUGUGUUUUCUUCUCAAAGAUGUUCGUUUUGAUACGGCCGCUAGUUCCACCUAAUUUAAACCUAGUUUUAUGCUAUACAUAUGUCUCUUUAUACUUCUUCUUACGAAUUCACAUAUAUUCUGAGCGAUGAACGCUGCGAGGACAUCAGUUAUUAUACAUUACACCGGAAACAAAAACUCGGUUGUAAUCGUUGAAAAGAUGGGGUGAUUUUGCUGUGGAAAUCCAAAUACGUAUGAUAAUCUUUUCGUUUAUUCUUGUUGAAUCCUUUUCCUUUUUCUUUUCUGACUUCGCGAGUCGUAAUUCACUGUUCACUAGAUGGAUGAAUGUUUGGGGACUCGAUUUUAUCGCUUCGAAACAGAAUUCGAGCAUUUUAAUGAGCUUUGAUCUUGAUUUCAUAUUUCGAAGUUAAAUGCUCCAAACACCAAUUCUCAUAAACGACUUGUGUGAAAUUAGGGUUUAUUUUUGGGUGAGUCCUUAUUUCUGUAUUUAUUGGUUCCCACAUCUGUUUCUUCAUUUAUGCCCUGACACCAGGAAGUUAAUUUUGAUAUAUGCUAAAUUUGGAUUUUAUAUGGUGCUUAUAUUUUUUUUAAAUACAUAUUUAAGAAAUUCAUUAAGUUAUUUUCUAAAUAAACAGUUGAAUUCAAUAAAAAAUAAAACAGAAGGGUAAAAUGGCCAUUUUAAUAAUUCAGCACAACAAUUCAGAUGUCCCAACCAAACAAAACAGCAUGUUAAAAAUUCAGACCCUCUUAGAAAUUCAGAUCUUAAAAAUUCAGAUCCUUAGCCAUAUAAAGAUUUAUAUGUUAUUAGCUACAUAUUAUUUGAAUGUGUUGUUUUGGUUUAGUAUUCAUACAUGAUACAUGUAUCUUAAUGCUAAAUUGUUAAUCACUUAAUACUUUUAAAAAUAAUUAAAGUGGUAACAAUAAAUUCUUAUACAUUGCAGUCCUUACUUAAUGUGCACUGAAUGACUUUCUGGCAUUGUUUAAGUAACAGGUAAGCUGAUUAAAUGAUGGAGCGACAAAGGGACAGAGAUGAAGAUGAUAAAUAUAAGAGAAGAAGAGAUGAUGAUAGAUACAGGAGUGAAAGAGACAGUCAAGAUAGGAGGAGGCUCCUCAACAAUAAGAGUGAUGAAGAAGAUGCAGAUGGUAGGAGGGGACGAGAUAGGAACAAGGAAAUUGUUAAUGAUAGGAACAGGAAUAGGAGUGAUGAUGAAGAUGCAAAUGAUAGGAGGAGAAGAGAUAGGAGGCGUGGUGAUGAUUAUGCUAAUGAUAGGAGGAGGAGGAGAAGAGAUGGAUGGAGUGACAAUGAAGAUAAAAAUGAUAAAAGGAGAGACAAAAAGAAAGAUAAAGGUAGGGAUGAGGAAGAUGAUAAUGACAGGAGAAGAGAUGAUGAUGAAGAUGGUAAUGAUAGGAGGAACAAGGAAAGGAAUGAAGAUAGGAGGAAAAGAGGUAGGAGCAAGGACAUAAGGAGUGAUGAUGAAGAUGGAAAUGAUAAGAACAACAGAAACAAUAAAAGAAUUGAUGAACAUGAUCAAAGUGAUGAAGAAGUUGGUGAAAUCAGGAAAAAGAAUGAGGACAUAAGUGAUGAAGAAGAUGGUGAGAUCAGGAAAAGUGGUAGAAAAGGGAAGUAUGAGGAUACGAGUGAUAGGGAAAUUGGUGAAAUCAGGAAGAGAGGGAGAAAGGGUAAGGAUAAAAGGAGUGAUGAUGAAGAUGAUAAAUACAAAAGGAGAAGGAAUAGGAACAAAGAUGAAGAUUAUAAAAGGGACAGAAAGAGGAAUGGUGAUCAUGAAGAUAGAAGAAGAACUGAUGAUGAUGAUGAUGAUGUGUCAAAGCGUAAAAGCGAUCAAAAUGGGGAUAAAGAAAAACCGGAUGAAGGCCCAAGAUUCCAAAAGCUGGCUGAUUUGCAAGAAAGCAUGACUAAUUUAGGAAAGNNNNN